This 550-nucleotide ribosomal RNA is filed under the name Pantoea septica. RNAcentral's name for it is "bacterial SSU rRNA". It matches the Rfam family "Bacterial small subunit ribosomal RNA", at positions 73 to 616 of the family's 1533-position model. The record is from RNAcentral. Lineage: Bacteria; Pseudomonadati; Pseudomonadota; Gammaproteobacteria; Enterobacterales; Erwiniaceae.
GAGAAGCUUGCUUCUUGGGUGACGAGUGGCGGACGGGUGAGUAAUGUCUGGGAAACUGCCCGAUGGAGGGGGAUAACUACUGGAAACGGUAGCUAAUACCGCAUAACGUCUUCGGACCAAAGUGGGGGACCUUCGGGCCUCACGCCAUCGGAUGUGCCCAGAUGGGAUUAGCUAGUAGGUGGGGUAACGGCUCACCUAGGCGACGAUCCCUAGCUGGUCUGAGAGGAUGACCAGCCACACUGGAACUGAGACACGGUCCAGACUCCUACGGGAGGCAGCAGUGGGGAAUAUUGCACAAUGGGCGCAAGCCUGAUGCAGCCAUGCCGCGUGUAUGAAGAAGGCCUUCGGGUUGUAAAGUACUUUCAGCGGGGAGGAAGGCGAUGCGGUUAAUAACCGCGUCGAUUGACGUUACCCGCAGAAGAAGCACCGGCUAACUCCGUGCCAGCAGCCGCGGUAAUACGGAGGGUGCAAGCGUUAAUCGGAAUUACUGGGCGUAAAGCGCACGCAGGCGGUCUGUCAAGUCAGAUGUGAAAUCCCCGGGCUUAACCUG